CUUGGACUCCGACUCUGUGCAGCCCACAGAUGUGUUUUGUUUGGCCUGCAGAGUCAUACCAAAGUCAGGACAGUCCAAAUAACAACCCGGAGUUAUGCGUCCUCUUGAAAAAGCCGAAGACCCAGCGGUUCUGGUCUCGUCUCCCACCGUGGCGACGAACAGCUGGCACUGAGUAGCAGCUGCCCCAUAGUAUGGGGCCCCCAUUUCUCUGUUCCACCCUCCCUGCCAUUCCUCCUGCCUCUCCCCAGACUUCUUUAGCCAUUGACUUAACCUUCUUGGCCCUCGCAGUUUGCAACCCCCGUGUUAAACCAAUAAAUGCACCAAUAAAC
This 329-nucleotide long non-coding RNA is filed under the name Rattus norvegicus (Norway rat). RNAcentral describes it as "long non-coding RNA NONRATT030191". The record is from RNAcentral. Lineage: Eukaryota; Metazoa; Chordata; Mammalia; Rodentia; Muridae.